GAUGAACGCUGACAGAAUGCUUAACACAUGCAAGUCAACUUGAAUUUGGGUUUUUAACUUAGAUUUGGGUGGCGGACGGGUGAGUAACGCGUAAAGAACUUGCCUCACAGCUAGGGACAACAUUUAGAAAUGAAUGCUAAUACCUGAUAUUAUGAUUUUAAGGCAUUUUAGAAUUAUGAAAGCUAUAAGCACUGUGAGAGAGCUUUGCGUCCCAUUAGCUAGUUGGAGAGGUAACAGCUCACCAAGGCGAUGAUGGGUAGCCGGCCUGAGAGGGUGAACGGCCACAAGGGGACUGAGACACGGCCCUUACUCCUACGGGAGGCAGCAGUGGGGAAUAUUGGACAAUGGACCGAGAGUCUGAUCCAGCAAUUCUGUGUGCACGAUGAAGUUUUUCGGAAUGUAAAGUGCUUUCAGUUGGGAAGAAAGAAAUGACGGUACCAACAGAAGAAGUGACGGCUAAAUACGUGCCAGCAGCCGCGGUAAUACGUAUGUCACGAGCGUUAUCCGGAUUUAUUGGGCGUAAAGCGCGUCUAGGUGGUUAUGUAAGUCUGAUGUGAAAAUGCAGGGCUCAACUCUGUAUUGCGUUGGAAACUGUAUAACUAGAGUACUGGAGAGGUAAGCGGAACUACAAGUGUAGAGGUGAAAUUCGUAGAUAUUUGUAGGAAUGCCGAUGGGGAAGCCAGCUUACUGGACAGAUACUGACGCUAAAGCGCGAAAGCGUGGGUAGCAAACAGG
Molecule: ribosomal RNA, 735 nt
Filed under: uncultured Fusobacterium sp.
Lineage: Bacteria; Fusobacteriati; Fusobacteriota; Fusobacteriia; Fusobacteriales; Fusobacteriaceae
Description: bacterial SSU rRNA
Rfam family: Bacterial small subunit ribosomal RNA
Source: RNAcentral